Molecule: transfer RNA, 76 nt
Filed under: Dallia pectoralis (Alaska blackfish)
Lineage: Eukaryota; Metazoa; Chordata; Actinopteri; Esociformes; Umbridae
Description: tRNA-Thr
Source: RNAcentral
GGAGAAUUUGGUAGCUCAGUGGUUGAGUGCAUGCUCUGUAUGUAUGAUGUCCAGGGUUCAAUCCCCAGCUGCUCCC